GACGAACGCUGGCGGCGUGCUUAACACAUGCAAGUCGAACGGAAAGGCCCUGCUUUUGUGGGGUGCUCGAGUGGCGAACGGGUGAGUAACACGUGAGUAACCUGCCCUUGACUUUGGGAUAACUUCAGGAAACUGGGGCUAAUACCGGAUAGGAGCUCCUGCUGCAUGGUGGGGGUUGGAAAGUUUCGGCGGUUGGGGAUGGACUCGCGGCUUAUCAGCUUGUUGGUGGGGUAGUGGCUUACCAAGGCUUUGACGGGUAGCCGGCCUGAGAGGGUGGCCGGCCACAUUGGGACUGAGAUACGGCCCAGACUCCUACGGGAGGCAGCAGUGGGGAAUAUUGCACAGUGGGCGGAAGCCUGAUGCAGCAACGCCGCGUGCGGGAUGACGGCCUUCGGGUUGUAAACCGCUUUCGCCUGUGACGAAGCGUGAGUGACGGUAAUGGGUAAAGAAGCACCGGCUAACUACGUG
RNAcentral lists this ribosomal RNA (468 nucleotides) under uncultured bacterium. RNAcentral's name for it is "partial 16S ribosomal RNA". It matches the Rfam family "Bacterial small subunit ribosomal RNA", at positions 28 to 507 of the family's 1533-position model. The record is from RNAcentral.